Molecule: ribosomal RNA, 189 nt
Filed under: uncultured bacterium
Lineage: Bacteria
Description: partial 16S ribosomal RNA
Rfam family: Bacterial small subunit ribosomal RNA
Source: RNAcentral
CCUACGGGAGGCAGCAGUAAGGAAUAUUGGUCAAUGGACGCAAGUCUGAACCAGCCAUGCCGCGUGGAGGAUGAAGGUCCUCUGGAUUGUAAACUUCUUUUCUCUGGGGCGAAAACCUCCCAUUCUUGGGAGCUUGACAGUACCAGAGGAAUAAGCACCGGCUAACUCCGUGCCAGCAGCCGCGGUAAU